GAAUGUGCUAGAAAAAUAGGGAACUGAACGAGAGACCUGGUCCCUAAAAUCCUUCUUAUGGUGUUAAUUCUGAUGAUGAUCUUUUUCUCUUGAGUUGUAUGCUUAAACAAACCUCAGAUCCAGUAAAAAGGACUUAGAAAAGUAGGCUGAUUGAUGAUGAAGUGGUAUGACCUGCUGAUGUAGUGAUUGUGGAAGAGAGAAUAAAAUGGAAAAAUCUUCACUUAUGAGAAAGAAUUCAAAAAAAAUGAAGAAAAGAAAGUUGGUUGAUAAAGAUGCAACAGAUGAUAUGGGUGAACAUAUUGAGAAGAAGAAGAAGAAGAUGGAGACAUUGACACUCAGGGAAAGAAAGGGUAGUGUGAGUAAGGAACUUGGUUCCCUACAGAAGAAAAAGGUUGAGUUAUUGGGUUUGGAG
Molecule: long non-coding RNA, 412 nt
Filed under: Nicotiana benthamiana
Lineage: Eukaryota; Viridiplantae; Streptophyta; Magnoliopsida; Solanales; Solanaceae
Description: long non-coding RNA (NBEN_LNC019883)
Source: RNAcentral